AUCCAGAUACUCUAUGAAUCUAGGUACUUACUGCAUCCAGAUACUCCUUACAUCCAGGUACUCUCCUCCAUUGAGAUACUCCCUAUAUCUGGAUACUCCCUGCAUCCAGAUGUUCCCUUUCAUCCAAAUACUGUCUUCCAUCCAGAUACUCCCUUUCAUCCAAUUACUCCCUUCCAUCUAGAUACUCUCCUUCAUCCAAAUACUCCCAUCCAGUUACUCUCCUCUAUCCACAAACUCUCUUCCAGAUACUCUUCUUCAUCCAGAUACUCCCUUGUAUCCAGGUAUUCCCUGCAUCCAGAUGCCCCCUGCAUCCAGAUACUCCCAUCCAGGUACUCCCAUUCCGUUACUCUCCUGUACCACAUACAUACUCCCUUCCUUCUAGAUACUCUCCUCCAUCCAGAUACUCCCUUUCAUCUAGAUACUUUCUUCCAUCCAGUUACUCUCUUAUAUCCAUGUAUGCUUUUCCUUCCACACACCCCCUUCCAGAUACUUUCCUCCAUCUGGAUACUCCCUUCUAUCCAGAUACUCCCUCCCAUGCAGUUACUCUCCUCCAUCCAGAUAUUCCCUCGUAUCCAGGUACUCCCUGCAUCCAGAUGUUCCAUGCAUCCAGAUAUUCUCUGUAUCCAGCUACCCCCUGUAUCCAGGUACCCUCUGAGUCCAGAUACUCCCUGCUUCCAGAUACUUCCCUGCAUCCAGAUUGACAUCACCUGGUGCAUGCCUGAUUAAUCUGCACCUUCCCGGGCGUCAGCUGCAUUCUCGCACACAUGGGAAGAGUUGGUGGUGAAGAAGAACCCGAAAGUGCACCAUCCUGCCUCCGUUGGUCCAAACACUUCAUACAUAGAUUUUGGUAGAUUUUCUUCUUUCUGUUAUGGAAAAUCUGAUUGGCUAAAGUUUUCUGGGUAUGGGGUGUGUGUGUGUGUGUGUCUGUGUGUGUUUUAGAGGGGGCAAAGGGUUUUUGUUUCUGUCUAAUGGAGAGAUAUUUGUAUUUAUUUAUUUAGAGAUGGAGUCUCACUGUGUCGCCCAGGCUGGAGUGCAGUGGCACGAUCUUGGCUCACUGCAACCUCCACCUCCCAAGUUCAAGCGAUUCUCCUGCCUCAGCCUCCUGAGUAGCUGGAAUUACACGCAUACACCACCAUGCCUGGAUAAUUUUUGUAUAUUUAGUAGAGAUGGGGUUUCACCAUGUUGACCAGGCAGGUCUCAAACUCCUGACUUCAAGUGAUCUGCCCGCCUUGGCCUCCCAAAGUGCUGGGAUUACAGGCAUGAGCCUCUGUACCGGGCCAGGAAAUGAAUUAAAAAAAAAAAAAAACUGUCUGUAUUUCUACUUCUUCAUUGGAAAGUCAUUCAUACUUACUUAAGUUUUCAAAUAUCACAGUGCAGAUAAGAGCAAAGUAAUUGUUUAUAAUCCUUCCACGUCCUCCAAGUAUAUGGAGAAGCUCGCAUUCUUCUUAUUUGGUGCUGUCAUUAUUUUAGUUGGUUAUCUUUGUCAAUUUUAGUUUUCUCAAAUAAUGUUUAAAUUAUGUGACAAAUCAUUUCUCAAUUUUUAAUGCAUCUCCACCUGCUUUUCUGGGGUUUAAUGUGAUAUCCACCUCCCCACAGGAUGGCUUCUUGAGUUGAAUGUUCGUUCCAUUAUUUUCAUUCUUUCUUGCUUAACGUUGUCAGCACGUGAGAUUCUAACUUUUCAUCUGCGUGCUGCAAGCCCUCAGGUUCUUUCAUGGAGAGUUUGUGU
Piliocolobus tephrosceles (Ugandan red Colobus) is the source of this 1726-nucleotide long non-coding RNA. The record is from Ensembl. NCBI's taxonomy places the organism in Eukaryota, Metazoa, Chordata, Mammalia, Primates, Cercopithecidae.